This 128-nucleotide microRNA precursor is filed under the name Eugenia uniflora (Surinam cherry). RNAcentral describes it as "miR396b stem-loop (eun-MIR396b)". Its record names the gene eun-MIR396b. The record is from miRBase by way of RNAcentral. Lineage: Eukaryota; Viridiplantae; Streptophyta; Magnoliopsida; Myrtales; Myrtaceae.
GUAUUCUUCCACAGCUUUCUUGAACUGCAUAUAUUAAGUGGGAUCUUUCUGAAGCCAGUGUAGACACACACUAGCACUCUUUCAACAAGUCCUUGUUUCAAUUGCGGUUCAAGCUAGCUGUGGGAAGA